RNAcentral lists this ribosomal RNA (474 nucleotides) under uncultured bacterium. Its description in RNAcentral is "partial 16S ribosomal RNA". It matches the Rfam family "Bacterial small subunit ribosomal RNA", at positions 28 to 507 of the family's 1533-position model. The record is from RNAcentral.
GAUGAACGCUAGCGGCAGGCCUAACACAUGCAAGUCGAGGGAGGAGCCUUCGGGCUUCGACCGGCGUACGGGUGCGUAACGCGUAUACAAUCUGCCUUUCACAUAGGGAUAGCCCGAAGAAAUUUGGAUUAAUGCCUAAUGGUAUAUAGAUGUGGCAUCACCUUUAUAUUAAAGCUGAGGCGGUGAAAGAUGAGUAUGCGUUCUAUUAGCUAGUUGGAGAGGUAACGGCUCCCCAAGGCGACGAUAGAUAGGGGUUCUGAGAGGGAUAUCCCCCACACUGGUACUGAGAUACGGACCAGACUCCUACGGGAGGCAGCAGUGAGGAAUAUUGGACAAUGGUCGGAAGACUGAUCCAGCCAUGCCGCGUGCAGGAAGACGGCCUUAUGGGUGGUAAACUGCUUUUGCAGGGGAAGAAUAAGGACUACGCGUAGUUUGAUGACGGUACUCUGCGAAUAAGCAUCGGCUAACUCCGUG